RNAcentral lists this ribosomal RNA (465 nucleotides) under uncultured bacterium. RNAcentral describes it as "partial 16S ribosomal RNA". It matches the Rfam family "Bacterial small subunit ribosomal RNA", at positions 28 to 507 of the family's 1533-position model. The record is from RNAcentral.
GACGAACGCUGGCGGCGUGCUUAACACAUGCAAGUCGAACGGAAAGGCCCUGCUUGCAGGGUACUCGAGUGGCGAACGGGUGAGUAACACGUGGGUGAUCUGCCCUGCACUUCGGGAUAAGCCUGGGAAACUGGGUCUAAUACCGGAUAGGAGCCAUUUUUAGUGUGAUGGUUGGAAAGUUUUUUCGGUGUAGGAUGAGCUCGCGGCCUAUCAGCUUGUUGGUGGGGUAAUGGCCUACCAAGGCGGCGACGGGUAGCCGGCCUGAGAGGGUGGACGGCCACAUUGGGACUGAGAUAAGGCCCAGACUCCUACGGGAGGCAGCAGUGGGGAAGAUUGCACAAUGGGCGCAAGCCUGAUGCAGCGACGCCGCGUGGGGGAUGACGGCCUUCGGGUUGUAAACUCCUUUCGCUAGGGACGAAGCUUUUUGUGACGGUACCUAGAUAAGAAGCACCGGCUAACUACGUG